ACGAGUUAGGGUCCUCUAGGCCCGACCUCCCAACCCUUUGUUUACUGAACCUCUGUUGCUUCGGCGGGCCCGUCUCACGACCGCCGGAGGAGCGCUGAAAGGCGUGUCCUCCGGCCUGUGUCCGCCGAUAGCCAACCACAAAACUCUGUAUAAAUCAUGUCAUGUCUAAGUCAAUGAUUAAAAUCAAAGCA
RNAcentral lists this unclassified non-coding RNA (191 nucleotides) under soil metagenome. Its description in RNAcentral is "partial internal transcribed spacer 1". The record is from RNAcentral.